GCGAGAACAUCGAACCGACGCGCGGGCGCGCGCACUUGCUGCUCGAGAAGGGCGACGACCACCAGGUGAAGCGGGUGCGGCUACGAAAGCUGUGACGGUUCCUCGGCGCGCACACCGCGCAACCCGAACCACGCCAGCUCCGAGAUCCACCGCGCCAGAUCCUCGGCGUCGGUAUCCGGCGAGUCGAAUGCGUGCCGGCCGACCGACUCGGCCAUCCCGACCAGGGCGUUCGCCAGCACCCGGCGAUGCUCGUCGGAAGCGGGGAUCUCGAUGAGUUCGGAGACCACGUCGGCUGCGGCCUUCACCACGCCCUCGACGACCCGGGCGAACUCGGGAUCGGUGCGGAUAGACGCGCUGAACAGCAGCCGGAACCCGGCCCGGCUGUCGGAGACGUAGCGGAAGUAGGCGAGGAAGCCGGCCUCGACGCGUUCUCGGCCCGUCUCGACGCGGUUCGUCACGGCCGCGAGCGCGUCGAGGAGCUGGCGGCCGGUGUCUUCGAGCAGUUCGACGUACAACGCGCGCUUGCUCGGGAAGUGCUGGUAGAGCACGGGCUUGGUGACGCCGGCGGCGUCGGCGAUGUCGUCCAUCGACGUCGCGUGGAAACCCGACGCCGCGAACACCUCACGGGCGACGUCGAGCAGUUGCUGGCGGCGUUGAUCGGCGGGGAGUCGCAUGCAGCGCGAGGCUAUGCGCCCGCGACGCUGGACUUCAGCGGCAUCACGUAGCGGUCGGUGUGGUCGAAGUUGCGGGCCCACAGGUCGUCGACUUGCCGGUAUUCGGCGUCGGUCAGCGGGAGAUCGGCGGCCGCCGCGUACUCCCGGAUGUCGGCGACGGUGAGCACUGACGGCAGCACCGUCGUGAACGCCGGGUUGGCGAGGAUCGCCGCGAUCGCGGCCUGGCCGAUCGUGCGUCCGGUCUCCGGCGCCCACAGGAACGCCAGCGUCGCCGCCUUCU
This 954-nucleotide unclassified non-coding RNA is filed under the name uncultured fungus. RNAcentral describes it as "sequence contains 18S rRNA gene, ITS1, 5.8S rRNA gene, ITS2, 28S rRNA gene". The record is from RNAcentral. Lineage: Eukaryota; Fungi.